RNAcentral lists this transfer RNA (69 nucleotides) under Heterocephalus glaber (naked mole-rat). It matches the Rfam family "tRNA". Rfam says of the family: Transfer RNA (tRNA) molecules are approximately 80 nucleotides in length. Their secondary structure includes four short double-helical elements and three loops (D, anti-codon, and T loops). The record is from Rfam by way of RNAcentral. Lineage: Eukaryota; Metazoa; Chordata; Mammalia; Rodentia; Bathyergidae.
UGGGGUGUAGCUCAGAGGUAAAGUGCAUGCUUAGCAUGUAUGAGGCCCUAGGUUCAAACCCCAGCCCAG